RNAcentral lists this unclassified non-coding RNA (326 nucleotides) under soil metagenome. RNAcentral describes it as "partial contains 5.8S ribosomal RNA, internal transcribed spacer 2, and large subunit ribosomal RNA". The stretch from base 1 to 120 matches the Rfam family "5.8S ribosomal RNA", at positions 35 to 154 of the family's 154-position model. The record is from RNAcentral.
GAUGAAGAACGGAGCGAAAUGCGAUAAGUAAUGUGAAUUGCAGAAUUCAGUGAAUCAUCGAAUCUUUGAACGCACAUUGCGCCCCUUGGUAUUCCGAGGGGCAUGCCUGUUCGAGCGUCAUAUUAACCACUCCCGCUUGCGGGGUCUUGGGCUUCGCCUCCGGGCGGGCCUUAAAAUCAGUGGCGGUGCCGUCGGGCUCUACGCGUAGUAAAUUUUCUCGCGAUAGGGUCCCGGUGGAUGCUUGCCAACAACCCCCAACUUCUUAAGGUUGACCUCGGAUCAGGUAGGGAUACCCGCUGAACUUAAGCAUAUCAAUAAGCGGAGGA